This 416-nucleotide ribosomal RNA is filed under the name uncultured bacterium. Its description in RNAcentral is "bacterial SSU rRNA". It matches the Rfam family "Bacterial small subunit ribosomal RNA", at positions 355 to 787 of the family's 1533-position model. The record is from RNAcentral.
UAGGGAAUCUUGCGCAAUGGGCGAAAGCCUGACGCAGCAACGCCGCGUGCGGGAUGAAGGCCUUCGGGUUGUAAACCGCUUUCAGUGGGGACGAAACAAGACGGUACCCACAGAAGAAGCCCCGGCCAACUACGUGCCAGCAGCCGCGGUAACACGUAGGGGGCAAGCGUUGUCCGGAUUUAUUGGGCGUAAAGGGCGCGUAGGCGGACGUUUAAGUCAGGGUGAAAUCCCCCGGGCUCAACCUCGGAAUUGCCUUUGAUACUGGAUGUCUCGAGACCGGAAGAGGUAAGUGGAACUGCGAGUGUAGAGGUGAAAUUCGUAGAUAUUCGCAAGAACACCAGUGGCGAAGGCGGCUUACUGGACGGUAACUGACGUUGAGGCUCAAAAGCGUGGGGAGCAAACAGGAUUAGAUACCC